UGGGGGAUAUUGCACAAUGGGCGAAAGCCUGAUGCAGCGACGCCGCGUGGGGGAUGAAGGCUUUCGGGUUGUAAACCUCUUUCGCUAUCGAGCAAGGCCCGCUUAGGGUGGGUUGAGGGUAGGUGGAGAAGAAGCGCCGGCUAACUACGUGCCAGCAGCCGCGGUAAUACGUAGGGCGCGAGCGUUGUCCGGAAUUAUUGGGCGUAAAGGGCUUGUAGGCGGCUUGUUGCGCCUGCUGUGAAAACGCGGGGCUUAACUUCGCGCGUGCAGUGGGUACGGGCAGGCUUGAGUGUGGUAGGGGUGACUGGAAUUCCAGGUGUAGCGGUGGAAUGCGCAGAUAUCUGGAGGAACACCGAUGGCGAAGGCAGGUCACUGGGCCAUUACUGACGCUGAGGAGCGAAAGCAUGGGUAGCGAACAGG
Molecule: ribosomal RNA, 420 nt
Filed under: bacterium
Lineage: Bacteria
Description: partial 16S ribosomal RNA
Rfam family: Bacterial small subunit ribosomal RNA
Source: RNAcentral